This 429-nucleotide ribosomal RNA is filed under the name uncultured archaeon. RNAcentral describes it as "bacterial SSU rRNA". It matches the Rfam family "Archaeal small subunit ribosomal RNA", at positions 474 to 903 of the family's 1478-position model. The record is from RNAcentral.
UACCAGCUCUCCGAGUGGUAGGGAUGAUUAUUGGGCUUAAAGCGUCCGUAGCCGGCUUAGCAAGUCUCCUGUUAAAUUCAGCGACCUAAUCGUUGAGCCGCGGGAGAUACUACUAGGCUAGGAGGCGGGAGAGGUCGACGGUACUUCCGGGGUAGGGGUGAAAUCCUAUAAUCCCGGGAUGACCACCAGUGGCGAAGGCUGUUGACUAGAACGCGCUCGACGGUGAGGGACGAAAGCUGGGGGAGCGAACCGGAUUAGAUACCCGGGUAGUCCCAGCUGUAAACGAUGCGAGCUAGGUGUUGGGGUGGCUACGUGCCACUUCAGUGCCGCAGGGAAGCCAUUAAGCUCGCCGCCUGGGGAGUACGGCCGCAAGGCUGAAACUCAAAGGAAUUGGGCGGGGAGCACCACAAGGCGUGAAGCUUGCGGUUC